CAGCCGCCACGGUAAUACGAAGGGUGCAAGCGUUAAUCGGAAUUACUGGGCGUAAAGCGCACGUAGGCGGCUUGGUAAGUUAGAGGUGAAAGCCUGGAGCUCAACUCCAGAAUUGCCUUUAAGACUGCCGAGCUAGCAGGUGAGAGAGGUAAGUGGAAUUCCGAGUGUAGAGGUGAAAUUCGUAGAUAUUCGGAAGAACACCAGUGGCGAAGGCGGCUUACUGGCUCAUACUGGACGCUGAGGUGCGAAAGCGUGGGGAGCAAACAGGAUUAGAUACCCCUGUAGUCCCUGUCUCUUAUAC
RNAcentral lists this ribosomal RNA (301 nucleotides) under uncultured bacterium. RNAcentral describes it as "partial 16S ribosomal RNA". It matches the Rfam family "Bacterial small subunit ribosomal RNA", at positions 509 to 807 of the family's 1533-position model. The record is from RNAcentral.